GGCUUGGACGAACGCUGGCGGCGCGCCUAACACAUGCAAGUCGAACGGAGUUGCGACGACAGAUCCUUUCGGGGUGACGUUAUAGCAACUUAGUGGCGAACGGGUGAGUAACACGUGAGUAACCUGCCUUUCAGAGGGGGACAACAGUUGGAAACGACUGCUAAUACCGCAUAAGACCACAGAGCGGCAUCGCUCAGGGGUCAAAGGAGCAAUCCGCUGAAAGAUGGACUCGCGUCCAAUUAGCUGGUUGGUGAGGUAACGGCCCACCAAGGCGACGAUUGGUAGCCGGACUGAGAGGUUGAACGGCCACAUUGGGACUGAGACACGGCCCAGACUCCUACGGGAGGCAGCAGUGGGGAAUAUUGCACAAUGGAGGAAACUCUGAUGCAGCGACGCCGCGUGAGGGAAGAAGGUCUUCGGAUUGUAAACCUCUGUCUUCAGGGACGAUAAUGACGGUACCUGAGGAGGAAGCCACGGCUAACAACGUGCCAGCAGCCGCGGUAAAACGUAGGUGGCAAGCGUUGUCCGGAAUUACUGGGUGUAAAGGGAGUGCAGGCGGGACGGCAAGUUGGAAGUGAAACCCAUGGGCUUAACCCAUGAACUGCUUUCAAAACUGCCGUUCUUGAGUGGUGCAGAGGUAGGCG
This 644-nucleotide ribosomal RNA is filed under the name uncultured bacterium. RNAcentral describes it as "bacterial SSU rRNA". It matches the Rfam family "Bacterial small subunit ribosomal RNA", at positions 22 to 663 of the family's 1533-position model. The record is from RNAcentral.